RNAcentral lists this long non-coding RNA (452 nucleotides) under Danio rerio (zebrafish). RNAcentral's name for it is "lncRNA (ENSDARG00000117798.1)". The record is from RNAcentral. Lineage: Eukaryota; Metazoa; Chordata; Actinopteri; Cypriniformes; Danionidae.
AGGAAAGCUGCACGCGUGUUGGUCGUUGACGCCUGACUGUUAAUAUAAAAACAGUUUUGCUGUGGCUUUAUGUACUUUCGUUUGCUUAAUUAAUUAUUUUUUUAUUAACAGAAUUGUUAUAUACCAUUAAUAUCACAUUUGUAAUUCUACUUCGGACAAAAACAGCCUUUGAUGAACUGCUAUGCUUGCCUUCAUGUGAUGCUAACGUUACCUUUAGGCAUAUAGUACAUUCACUGACACGCGGAGAUCAGACAUAUUUUAUUUAGUAUUAAAUUCUCCAGUUUACUCCUCGUCUGACUUCAGAAAAACAACACCGCCUCGUUAUCACAGCAGAUUGUUCUGUUCUAGAUCUGACCACAGCAUCACAAACUGUAAGUAAGUUGUCUGUAAAUUAUUGUUUUAUAGUCAAAAGUUCCAUCACACAGCCCCUGUUUCAGCAUGGUUUUUCACAC